CAGUGUUCGUGGGGUCAUGCCAAUCAACCUGCUAUCUGCCAAUCACGGGAAUGCCUGGAAUGUUAGGAUACCGGGCAGAGUGGCGUGAAGGGGGGUUGGGCAGGGGGAUGGAGCAUUGGAAGUUAAGACCGGGUUUAGCCAUUGUUCUCUCUCUUACAUCUGGGCUUCACAAGAGAAGGUCACGGUUCGUUUUGUAGUGUACCUUUCAUUCAUUUGGCGUGGGCUACGGCCAAACAGUAGCCUGUGUUAAGUUGUGUUAAUAAACCGUCCAUUCGUUAACUCCAUCCUCCGUCUGGACAAUUGUUCCUUCAUGAUCUAGUCAGAGAGUGGAGAGGAAGGAGAGGAGGAAGACUGGAUAGGAAGAAGAGAGAAAGAGAGAGAGGAGGAAAGAUUGGAGAGGAAGGAGAAGGAAAAAUGAAGGGAGUAAAAAGAGUGAAGCGAGGAGAUUGUAGAAGAUUGAGGUGGAAAUUUGAAGAGAAGGAAAGGAAGAAAGAGCAGUAAGAUGAGUGGAGAAAAGAGGAGAAAGAUUGGAGCGGAAGAAAAAGUUAAGAGAGUAAGAAGAGCCGAGGUACAAUGGCUCUUUCCAAGAAACGGAAUCAAUGAUAUAUUGACAGCAGCAAGAAAUAGGUUCACUGUUCCUACCAUCAAGGCCAUGCUUAUUGUGAAGACAAACUUCAAUCUCUCCUGCCAGGAGUUCAUGGAGAAGCUGGCCAAAGACAGACAUUUUUUCAGAGAAAUAUACAGAUUAGGUCUCUGAGGCACUGUUCCAGCAGGUCUUCCAGUACUAUGGCCUUCUGGAGGAUAUACUCUCCGAUCGUGGCCCCCAAUUCACAUCACGUGUAUGGAAGGCUUUCAUGGAGAAGCUGGGGGUCACGGUCAGCCUCACUUCUGGGUACCGGCUUCAAUCUAACGGGCAGGUGGAGAGGAUGAACCAGGAGCUGGGGAGGUUCCUGACGAGUCACUGCCAGGACCUGCAGGGGGAGUGGUCACGAUUCCUUACUUGGGCUGAAUACGCCCAGAAUUCAUUGUGACACUCCUCCACUAGCCUAACUCCCUUGCAGUGUGUUAUGGGUUAUCAGAUGGCUCCUGGCUCCGUGGACCCAGAGCCAGACCGAAGCUCCUAGGGUGGAUGAGUGGUUCAGGCUCUCUGAAAGAGGUAUGGAACGAUGCCCACGUGAGACUCCAACGUGCCGUCCGCCAUCAGAAAGAGCAGGCUCCCGUGUUCCAUCCUGGUGAUCACGUCUGGCUCUCACCAGGUACCUCCCACUCCACCUGCCCUGUAAAGAAGCUGAGUCCCUGUUUGUUUGUGGGGCCGUUCAAGGUCCUCCGCAGGGUCAGCGAGCUCUUGGAGUCCCUGGACAUCAACCACCCGAGCCACUGCCUGUUCACACCGCUACCAUCCAGAAGGAGAGUUGCAGCUACAGUAUGCUUAACAGUUCUAAUAUUAUGGUACAGCUAGACGGACUCUUCAUCGUCAUGGUGCUUUUUGAUAAGUGCGUCCUAGGAACGCCGCCCACGUGUGGCCCCAGUGCGCCGUCUGCCGUCAGAAGGAUCAGGUGGACUGCCACUGCAGUGAGGCUCCCGUGUUCCAUACUGGUGACCGCGUCUAGCUCUCCACCAGGAACCUUCCCCCUGCCCUGUCGGAAGCUGAGCCCCUCAAUGUCCUCCAGAGGGUCAAUGAGGUAACCUAUUGUUUAGAACUCCCC
RNAcentral lists this long non-coding RNA (1706 nucleotides) under Salmo salar (Atlantic salmon). Its description in RNAcentral is "lncRNA (ENSSSAG00000113279.1)". The record is from RNAcentral. Lineage: Eukaryota; Metazoa; Chordata; Actinopteri; Salmoniformes; Salmonidae.